RNAcentral lists this transfer RNA (67 nucleotides) under Marmota monax (woodchuck). Its description in RNAcentral is "tRNA.Thr". Lineage: Eukaryota; Metazoa; Chordata; Mammalia; Rodentia; Sciuridae. The record is from RNAcentral.
GGGGAUAUAGCUCAGUGGUAGAGCAUUUGCCUAGUACUCUGAAGACCCUGGAUUGCUGGUAAUCCCU